UGGAAUAAUAGAAUAGGACAGGCGUCUACUUGUUGGUUCUAGACGUCUGUAAUGAUACAGAAACAUCGGGGGCGUCAGUAUGCAUCGUCAGAGGUGAAAUUCUUAGAUCGACGCAAGACUAACUACUGCGAAAGCAUUCGCCAAGGGUGUUUUCAUUAAUCAGGAACGAAAGUUAGGGGAUCGAAGACGAUCAGAUACCGUCGUAGUCUUAACCAUAAACUAUGCCGACUAGGGAUCGGGCGGUGUUAAUUUUUGACCCGCUCGGCACCUUACGAGAAAUCUUAAGUGCUUGGGCUCCAGGGGGAGUAUGGUCGCAAGGCUGAAACUUAAAGAAAUUGACGGAAGGGCACCACCAGGGGUGGAACCUGCGGCUUAAUUUGACUCAACACGGGGAAACUCAUCAGGUUAGGAUAUUUUUAGGAUUGACAGAUUGAGAGCUCUUUCAUGAUUAAAUAGAUGGUGGUGCAUGGCCGUUCUUAGUUCGUGGUUAUGAACUGUCAGCUCAAUUGCGAUAACGAACGAGACCGCGACUGCUAAAUAGCCCGCGCCGCCCCGGCGGCGUGCCGGCUUCUUAGUGGGACUAUCGGCUCAAGCCGAUGGAGGUACGCGUCAAUAACAGGUCUGUGAUGCCCUUAGAUAUCCUGAGCCGCACGCGCGUUACACUGGCAGGGCCAGCGAGUUUUUUUCCUUGGCCGAGAGGCCCGGGUAAUCUUGUUAAACCCUGCCGUGCUGGGGACAGGGCAUUGUAAUUAUUGCCCUCGAACGAGGAAUCCCUAGUAAGCGCGAGUCAUCAGCUCGCGUUGAUUGCGUCCCUGCCCUU
This 820-nucleotide ribosomal RNA is filed under the name uncultured fungus. RNAcentral's name for it is "SSU rRNA". It matches the Rfam family "Eukaryotic small subunit ribosomal RNA", at positions 810 to 1660 of the family's 1831-position model. Lineage: Eukaryota; Fungi. The record is from RNAcentral.